RNAcentral lists this ribosomal RNA (429 nucleotides) under Bacillota bacterium. Its description in RNAcentral is "Firmicutes bacterium partial 16S ribosomal RNA". It matches the Rfam family "Bacterial small subunit ribosomal RNA", at positions 355 to 776 of the family's 1533-position model. Lineage: Bacteria; Bacillati; Bacillota. The record is from RNAcentral.
UAGGGAAUCUUCGGCAAUGGACGGAAGUCUGACCGAGCAACGCCGCGUGAGUGAAGAAGGUUUUCGGAUCGUAAAGCUCUGUUGUUAGAGAAGAACGUUGGUAGGAGUGGAAAAUCUACCAAGUGACGGUAACUAACCAGAAAGGGACGGCUAACUACGUGCCAGCAGCCGCGGUAAUAAGUAGGUCCCGAGCGUUGUCCGGACUUAUUGGGCGUAAAGCGAGCGCAGGCGGUUCUUUAAGUCUGAAGUUGAAGGCAGUGGCUUAACCAUUGUACGCUUUGGAAACUGAAGGACUUGAGUGCAGAAGGGGAGAGUGGAAUUCCAUGUGUAGCGGUGAAAUGCGUAGAUAUAUGGAGGAACACCGGUGGCGAAAGCGGCUCUAUAGUCUGUAACUGACGCUGAGGCUCGAAAGCGUGGGGAGCAAACAGG